RNAcentral lists this microRNA precursor (106 nucleotides) under Pelobates cultripes (western spadefoot toad). Lineage: Eukaryota; Metazoa; Chordata; Amphibia; Anura; Pelobatidae. The record is from RNAcentral.
CAGACCCUCCCUCCCAGACCUUCCCACCUCCUGGACAGCUCACUAAGAAUGCAGCUUCAAAAUGGAUGCUGUCCAGGAGGUGGGAAGGUCUGGGAGGGAGGGUCUG